CGUUUCUUAAACCCUAGACACCCCCUCACUCUCCUCCUUCUCUUGGCCUCUCCCUCAGCGAAGAACGAGGUGUGUUCUGUUGAUUUCAAGAUGCUUGUGUUAUUCGAAACCCCAGCGGGGUGUUGGCCCUUUUCAAAGUAUUCGACGAAGGGAAACUCUCCAAAGUCGAGUUGUCAUCGGAAUUUUCACCGCUCGGAGGAGAUGCCUAUCCCUGAAGACCAAUCUUCAGGGAUCAUAUCGGUGGAGGCAGGCAGAGCAACACCAAAGAGCAAAAAGACAAAAUUCACAAACGAGCAGUGGGCCAAGAUGUAAGAGUUCGUAGUGGGCAGAAACAACUGAAAGGGAUCGAGUAGUCAUCAAGGAGUUUUGUCAAGAGAUAGGAAUUCACCCAAAAGCUUACAAGACUUGGGUCAAGAACAACAAGGGUGCGUAGAGAAAUAGCGCGUGAUGUCCUAAUAUUUUUUGGUUGCUCGCUCUUUUUUGCUUGUUCGCCACCUAUAUUGUUGAGCGAACAAGCAAAAGAGAGCGAGUAGCCAUCGAAAAAUAUUAGGUCAUCAUCCGCUAUUUUUCUACGUACUCUUGUUGUUCUUGACCCAAGUCUUGUAAGCUUUUGAGUGAAUUUUUGUCUCUCGGCAAAAUUCCUUGAUGACUACUCACUUCCUUUUGGUUGUUCGCCAAUCACUAUGUUGAGCGAACUCCUGCAUCUUGGCUCGUGAACUUUGUUUUUUUCUUAUUCUGUUCAGCUUCUUGUUGUCAAUGGAAUUUUCACCGCUCUAAGGAGGUGCCUAUUAUCGCAGAGACCAAUCUCACUGGCAUGAUCUGUUUCAAGGAUCACAGCCAUCUCAAAGACCUCCGUAGGCACCUCCUCCAAGCGAUGGAAAUUCUGUUAACAACAAUAAACUGCAUACAAUAAGAAAAUACAAAGUUUACUACGGACGAGCAGGGGGCCAAGAUGCAGGAGUUUGCUUAAUGUUGUGGGUGGCGAACCAAAAUGGAGCGAUUAGUCUCAAAGAGUUUUGCCAAAUGAUAGGAAUUCACUCAAAAGUUUAAGGACCUGGGUUUUAUAAGUCCAAGCCAAAUCUGAAGCUGCCUCCUACAAAGGUUGCACUAAGGGUUCAACCAUGUCGCCCGCUAACAUGAAUGCCGCUGCUGCAAAAAAGCUAUGGCCGGUCAAAGAAGAGAUAUGAAAAAGAUAGCGAAGAAAUAGAAGAGGAUCGUGGCAAUGUGGAGAAUGGGUCCAUAUGCUAAAAAUAACGAGGACGACAAUGAAGAGACCGAGUACGAGGACUAGGACUAGACAGGACAGGACGGAUUGCAAAGAGUACCCCACCCCACGCCAGUUUGGGCCUCAUUUUGUACGUGCCUUAAUAUCUGCCGGAAUGCUGCCGUUUGCCAGUACCAAGAUUUUGACUGCUUUGUAGUUAAGUGUGGAAAACUUGGGCAGCUAGAAAAAAUUUUCAGAGUGAAACUCAGCUUCGCCACCCCCCCC
This is a long non-coding RNA of Diospyros lotus (date-plum), 1489 nucleotides long. RefSeq lists it as uncharacterized. The transcript is spliced from 3 exons. The record is from RefSeq and is a predicted model, not a curated record. NCBI's taxonomy places the organism in Eukaryota, Viridiplantae, Streptophyta, Magnoliopsida, Ericales, Ebenaceae.